This 439-nucleotide ribosomal RNA is filed under the name uncultured bacterium. RNAcentral's name for it is "bacterial SSU rRNA". It matches the Rfam family "Bacterial small subunit ribosomal RNA", at positions 28 to 505 of the family's 1533-position model. The record is from RNAcentral.
GAUGAACGCUGGCGGCGUGGAUAAGGCAUGCAAGUCGAACGUCUGUAUUUAUACAGAAGUGGCGAACGAGGUAGUAACACGUAGAUAUCUACCCUUUAGUCAGGAAUAACUAUGGGAAACCAUAGCUAAUACUUGAUAGUCCCUCAGGGGUAAAGCGAUUUAGCGCUAAAGGAAGAGUCUGCGGAGUAUCAGCUAGUUGGUAAGGUAAAGGCUUACCAAGGCUAUGACGCUUAGGGGAGGUGAGAGCCUGGCCCCCACCGAUGGUACUGAGACACGGACCAUACACCUACGGGUGGCCGCAGUCGAGAAUCUUCCGCAAUGGACGAAAGUCUGACGGAGCGACGCCGCGUGAUUGAUGAAGCACUUAGGUGUGUAAAAAUCUUUUCUAGAGGAGGAAGUUUAUUGACGUUACUCUAGGAAUAAGGGGUUGCUAAACUCG